RNAcentral lists this ribosomal RNA (1466 nucleotides) under Escherichia coli. RNAcentral describes it as "partial 23S ribosomal RNA". It matches the Rfam family "Bacterial large subunit ribosomal RNA", at positions 241 to 1746 of the family's 2925-position model. Lineage: Bacteria; Pseudomonadati; Pseudomonadota; Gammaproteobacteria; Enterobacterales; Enterobacteriaceae. The record is from RNAcentral.
CAGUAGCGGCGAGCGAACGGGGAGCAGCCCAGAGCCUGAAUCAGUGUGUGUGUUAGUGGAAGCGUCUGGAAAGGCGUGCGAUACAGGGUGACAGCCCCGUACACAAAAAUGCACAUGCUGUGAGCUCGAUGAGUAGGGCGGGACACGUGGUAUCCUGUCUGAAUAUGGGGGGACCAUCCUCCAAGGCUAAAUACUCCUGACUGACCGAUAGUGAACCAGUACCGUGAGGGAAAGGCGAAAAGAACCCCGGCGAGGGGAGUGAAAAAGAACCUGAAACCGUGUACGUACAAGCAGUGGGAGCACAGAGCAAUCUGUGUGACUGCGUACCUUUUGUAUAAUGGGUCAGCGACUUAUAUUCUGUAGCAAGGUUAACCGAAUAGGGGAGCCGAAGGGAAACCGAGUCUUAACUGGGCGUUAAGUUGCAGGGUAUAGACCCGAAACCCGGUGAUCUAGCCAUGGGCAGGUUGAAGGUUGGGUAACACUAACUGGAGGACCGAACCGACUAAUGUUGAAAAAUUAGCGGAUGACUUGUGGCUGGGGGUGAAAGGCCAAUCAAACCGGGAGAUAGCUGGUUCUCCCCGAAAGCUAUUUAGGUAGCGCCUCGUGAAUUCAUCUCCGGGGGUAGAGCACUGUUUCGGCAAGGGGGUCAUCCCGACUUACCAACCCGAUGCAAACUGCGAAUACCGGAGAAUGUUAUCACGGGAGACACACGGCGGGUGCUAACGUCCGUCGUGAAGAGGGAAACAACCCAGACCGCCAGCUAAGGUCCCAAAGUCAUGGUUAAGUGGGAAACGAUGUGGGAAGGCCCAGACAGCCAGGAUGUUGGCUUAGAAGCAGCCAUCAUUUAAAGAAAGCGUAAUAGCUCACUGGUCGAGUCGGCCUGCGCGGAAGAUGUAACGGGGCUAAACCAUGCACCGAAGCUGCGGCAGCGACGCUUAUGCGUUGUUGGGUAGGGGAGCGUUCUGUAAGCCUGUGAAGGUGUGCUGUGAGGCAUGCUGGAGGUAUCAGAAGUGCGAAUGCUGACAUAAGUAACGAUAAAGCGGGUGAAAAGCCCGCUCGCCGGAAGACCAAGGGUUCCUGUCCAACGUUAAUCGGGGCAGGGUGAGUCGACCCCUAAGGCGAGGCCGAAAGGCGUAGUCGAUGGGAAACAGGUUAAUAUUCCUGUACUUGGUGUUACUGCGAAGGGGGGACGGAGAAGGCUAUGUUGGCCGGGCGACGGUUGUCCCGGUUUAAGCGUGUAGGCUGGUUUUCCAGGCAAAUCCGGAAAAUCAAGGCUGAGGCGUGAUGACGAGGCACUACGGUGCUGAAGCAACAAAUGCCCUGCUUCCAGGAAAAGCCUCUAAGCAUCAGGUAACAUCAAAUCGUACCCCAAACCGACACAGGUGGUCAGGUAGAGAAUACCAAGGCGCUUGAGAGAACUCGGGUGAAGGAACUAGGCAAAAUGGUGCCGUAACUUCGGGAGAAGG